RNAcentral lists this ribosomal RNA (253 nucleotides) under uncultured bacterium. Its description in RNAcentral is "partial 16S ribosomal RNA". It matches the Rfam family "Bacterial small subunit ribosomal RNA", at positions 524 to 776 of the family's 1533-position model. The record is from RNAcentral.
UACGGAGGGUGCGAGCGUUGUCCGGAAUCAUUGGGCGUAAAGGGCGCGUAGGUGGCCCGGUCAGUCGAUGGUGAAAGCGCGGGGCUCAACCCGGGAACUGCCAUUGAUACUAUCAGUCUUGAAUAUCGUUGAGGUUUGCGGAAUGGGUCAUGUAGCGGUGAAAUGCAUAGAUAUGACCCGGAACACCUAUUGCGAAGGCAGCAGGCUAAGCGAAGAUUGACGCUGAGGCUCGAAAGCGUGGGGAUCAGACAGG